Long non-coding RNA from Rosa rugosa (rugosa rose), 4928 nucleotides. RefSeq lists it as uncharacterized. Lineage: Eukaryota; Viridiplantae; Streptophyta; Magnoliopsida; Rosales; Rosaceae. The transcript is spliced from 2 exons. The record is from RefSeq and is a predicted model, not a curated record.
UGUUGAUAGGAGCAUUUUAAUGUGGUAUUUUAAUAGUUAAUUCCUCACAUUUUGCUUAGUUAAUUCCUUAACGAAUCGAUUUUUAACUCAAUUUCUAUUUUCUUAGGUACAUUGGAGUAAAUGAUGGUGAAAUGAGCAUUAGGUCCACACUUACCUAUAAAUGAUGGAGAAAAAUGGAAAUGUACUAAAAGGUCAAUUUUACACAUUUUCCUACUCCGGCUAGGAGAAACCAAGCCAAGCAAGGAAGAAGGAGCGGCCGCCUGACCAAAUGAACUCCAAAUGAGCUGAAACUUUCCAGAUCCAUUCUAGACAUCCUAAGGAUCGUUUCUUAUGAAGAGUGCCAGAGCUAGAAUUGAGUGGAAGGCCUUCAAACAGUCAGCCCAAUUUCCUGCAGAAGCAAAACUGGAAAACUGGACCCGUAAGGAGUCCAGCAGCAUUUUCGGCCCAACCACAUGGAAUAAAAAUCUGAAAUUUUACCAGGGUGAUCUACACUCAUAAUGGAACAUUUUUUAUGAAGAGGUCAUAGUGAAAUUGGGAAUGCUUGUUGGAGAAAUAAUUGAAGGAAUAAAGGGGCAGAAACUGAUCUAAAAACAGCUCAACACCACAUGUUCAAGUUUCCUACCCACAUGAAGAAAGCUAGAUGCUUUUCUCUUUUUCCUUGGAUAUAUUUUUCUGCUCCAAUAGAUCAUCAUCACUUCCAUACUUCUACACCUUCAUGCCUUGCUUUCAUUUCAUCAUUACUCCAUCUUUUCCAUAUUUUACAAACCACUUUCAUUAUUUUUCUUCCAUUUAUCAUUUCACUCUUCUUUUUCUUCCCUAUAUAAACACCUUCUCCUCUCACUCUAAACACAUUCCUUCAUCCAUUUCAUCUUCUUUGUCUCUCCAUUUCCAUUCCAUUUUUCUCUCCAUUCUCUAGUUGCAAAAUUCUGCGUUUUCAAGUAAGAAGAAGAAGAAGAAGAAGGAGCCGGGAAUAUCAUAUCCUCCAUCGUCCACCUUGAAGGCUUGCUUCCAAGAUUCAAGAUUUCAACGUUUCAAGCACUCCAUCUCCAUCUCCAACUCACGGUGUACCGUCUGGCUGCAAGACGUAAAAUACAAGCGCUGCUUGGGAGGCAACCCAAUUCAGAAUAUAAUCAGAUUUGCUUUCUCUUCCCCUUUUACUCCUCCAUUUUCUUUUUGUUUUAGUAGUUAUUUUCGUAAAUUUCAUCCCUAUAUGCUUACUUAUUUCAUUGCAUGCUUUUAAUUGAUUACAUUAAGGAUAAUGCAAUAUUUAAGUGUGGGGGAAGGGAUUUAUAUUUUUGUCUUUCAUUUUGAGUCCUAUAAAUAUUUUUGAGUCCUAUAUUUUAAAAAAAAUAAUAAAAAAUAAAAAAUAAAAUAAAAUGCAUUCAUUUAGUCUUAUUAAAUUCAGCUUUUUACAAAAAAAAAAAAAAUAAAAAAAAAAUAAAAUAAAAUAAAAUAAAAUAAAAAAAUAAUAAAAAAAAUAAAAAAAAUAAAAAAAAAAUAUCUCCCAAAUUGUAUAUUUUGUAUUUCUUAGUUAAUUAUAGUUACUAACUUUCUAAUUUCUAUUCUGUCUGGCUGAAAGACGUUAAACUCAAGCGCUGCUUGGGAGGCAACCCAAUUCAGAAGUAGCUGUGAAGGAGUCUACCUACACAGAUUUGCUUUCUCUUUCCCUAUCUCUUUUUAUUUUUUUUAUUUUUUCUCUUUUGUUUUUAUUUUAGGAUUUAUUUUCAUAAAUGUCUUCUAUCUAUGCUUAUUUGUUUCAUUGCAUGCUUAUGAUUGAUUACAUUGAGGACAAUGCAAUAUUUAAGUGUGGGGGAAGGGAUUUAUAUUUGAGUCUUUUAUUUUGAGUCAUAUAUAUUGGAAAAUACAAAAAAAUCGAAAAAUGUCAAAAAUUAAAAAAAUUUCGUUGAUUUUAUUUAUUGAGUCUUAGUCCUUUGUUUUUAUUUUUGAGUCAUAGGAUGCCCUUUUAACUGUCUAGGAUGAGCUUAUAUCUCUGAAAUUAAGGCUAAAAGAUGAUCACAAGAUUGGGAUAAUAUUUGAUGAUAUUCUUUGGUUAAUUAUGAUUUAUGAAAAGCAUAUGAAUGUGUAGUAGAUAUGGUGCAUGCGUAACUUUGGUACAGAAUAUGAACAUGUGGAUGAUAAGUUAUGAUUCAUAAUAACCCUUGUGAGAAUUUGAGCCAUGUGCCCUUUCUUUGUUGAGUGAUUAAUGGAAAAAAAAAAAAAAAAUGAAUUAUACUCUUAUUUUCUUGGCGAUGAUUCUGUUGAUCUCAUUAUUCUUUCAUCUUGAUUGAUUACAUGCCAUAGAUUAAGUUUAAUGGACUAGAGAAUGCUAGAAUUCGCUCUUGUGCUUGUUGAGACGUUUUGUCAAUACAUGGCCCUGAUUCUGGAAAGGAUAGAGGCACCUAGGAACUACCACCAUUGCCAAAUAAGCCUGUGUCCCUAUUUGUGCCCGUCGUGGGACCCCCUUAGAUAAACCCCUUUGAGCCUACAUUAAGCCUUUUCUUUCAUCACCCUAAAAAUCCUUAACCCCUGAACCUUAGUAUAGUUAUAAUCCUACCCUUUGUUCUAAAAACUUAGUGGAGCUAUCUUUUGAGACUUACUACAUGAUGGUGACAAGGAUUGAGAAGAGGUGAAAAUUCAAGUGUGGGGGUAGACUUGUCCAUGAAAAAAAAAAAAAAAAAAAAAAAUAUGUAUGUAUUGCCGUGAAAAAAAAAAAAAAAAAAAAAAAAAAAAAGAAUGUUUAUGGAUUUUAGUCCCCCAUACUUGGUGAGUUUGGAGAUUGUUUUGAAUUGAAGGCCCACUAUCGAAAAAUUUGGUCUUUGUCCAAUUCACUAGAAUCAAAGGGAGUUUAGAAUGAAGAUGAAGACAUUAAGCCCUUUUAUAAAGCCUCAUGGGUAUGACGUUAUGCCUUGGUGGAUUUCUAGAAGUCUCUCUAUAUCAACAUGAGCUCUGCUAGGUUUUUAGGAUACUUUGUUAAAAAUUCCUUACCCUUUCAUUUCUUAAAACCUUGAGCCUUAGCCCCAUUACAACCUUUGAGAAGACCUUCUUGAUCCUUAAGAUGGGACAGCCUUUGAUGUGGAGAUGAGUUACAAGAGUUGAACAUAUGGCUUGGGUCCAUUCGUAAAAGUAGUUGAUAUCUUUCAUGAGAUCUUUUAAAAAAAUUAUAUUCACAAAGUGCUUUUUGUUUCUUAUAUAUGUGAGCUAUUUGAUUGCCUCAAAAUAUUUUCUCUCACAUAUAAUUGAGUGAUUAUAAGCUUUUAAGCAUGAGCCUUGAAUAUGAGAGAAGAAAGAGUGAUAUAUCCAUGUGAGGUUUGAAUCAUGACUUGUUUGAAAUAUGUUGAGCUCCACUCACCACCAUUGUUUACUCCCAAGUCUUACAUGCUUAUAUGUGGAUUAUAUUUUGUAAUUAGCUCUUGAAUAUCUUGAUGAUGUGAUUCUUGGUUAAGUGCUAAUCUUGGUGACUUGAAAGUAUGAGAUUUCUGAGACAAUAUGUUAAAGGGCAAUAGAGGUCUUUGUGAUAUCAACAUCAUGGUCUUUGUCUUUGAAUUUCCUCUUUUAUGUGUGACGUUUUUUUUUUCUUUGUGUUUUGCUUUGUGUUUUACGUUUUUGGUUUCUUUGAGUCUUUGUGUUUUUGUUUCCAUACUUAGUCAUUUUUUUUCGUUGGUUUCUUUGUUUUGUGUCAUAGUCUUUUUGGUUUGUUAGUUUUUGAUUUUGCUAAGGGACUAGCAAAAGCUAAGUGUGGGGGAAUUUGAUAGGAGCAUUUUAAUGUGGUAUUUUAAUAGUUAAUUCCUCACAUUUUGCUUAGUUAAUUCCUUAACGAAUCGAUUUUUAACUCAAUUUCUAUUUUCUUAGGUACAUUGGAGUAAAUGAUGGUGAAAUGAGCAUUAGGUCCACACUUACCUAUAAAUGAUGGAGAAAAAUGGAAAUGUACUAAAAGGUCAAUUUUACACAUUUUCCUACUCCGGCUAGGAGAAACCAAGCCAAGCAAGGAAGAAGGAGCGGCCGCCUGACCAAAUGAACUCCAAAUGAGCUGAAACUUUCCAGAUCCAUUCUAGACAUCCUAAGGAUCGUUUCUUAUGAAGAGUGCCAGAGCUAGAAUUGAGUGGAAGGCCUUCAAACAGUCAGCCCAAUUUCCUGCAGAAGCAAAACUGGAAAACUGGACCCGUAAGGAGUCCAGCAGCAUUUUCGGCCCAACCACAUGGAAUAAAAAUCUGAAAUUUUACCAGGGUGAUCUACACUCAUAAUGGAACAUUUUUUAUGAAGAGGUCAUAGUGAAAUUGGGAAUGCUUGUUGGAGAAAUAAUUGAAGGAAUAAAGGGGCAGAAACUGAUCUAAAAACAGCUCAACACCACAUGUUCAAGUUUCCUACCCACAUGAAGAAAGCUAGAUGCUUUUCUCUUUUUCCUUGGAUAUAUUUUUCUGCUCCAAUAGAUCAUCAUCACUUCCAUACUUCUACACCUUCAUGCCUUGCUUUCAUUUCAUCAUUACUCCAUCUUUUCCAUAUUUUACAAACCACUUUCAUUAUUUUUCUUCCAUUUAUCAUUUCACUCUUCUUUUUCUUCCCUAUAUAAACACCUUCUCCUCUCACUCUAAACACAUUCCUUCAUCCAUUUCAUCUUCUUUGUCUCUCCAUUUCCAUUCCAUUUUUCUCUCCAUUCUCUAGUUGCAAAAUUCUGCGUUUUCAAGUAAGAAGAAGAAGAAGAAGAAGGAGCCGGGAAUAUCAUAUCCUCCAUCGUCCACCUUGAAGGCUUGCUUCCAAGAUUCAAGAUUUCAACGUUUCAAGCACUCCAUCUCCAUCUCCAACUCACGGUGUAAUUCAUUCUUUUUCCUUAUUUAAUUUCGUAGGAAUUUGUUUCUAGUUAACAAUAACAUUAAGGGCAAAGUUUAAGCCCAAUUUCUAUGUUUGAAUAAAAAUUGUGAUUUCUUUAUGUU